This 920-nucleotide long non-coding RNA is filed under the name Equus asinus (donkey). Its description in RNAcentral is "lncRNA (ENSEASG00005029351.1)". The record is from RNAcentral. Lineage: Eukaryota; Metazoa; Chordata; Mammalia; Perissodactyla; Equidae.
UGAGCGCUUGUUACUGCACAAAGUGGGGGUUUCUUGCCUGAUGAGCAUAAGGAGCCAAUUAUGACGGCAUCAGCCUUUGAGAAAAGAAAACAGCUUUAUUGUGAGAUCCAUCAGUAAGGAGACAGGAGGCAUUUGCUCUCAGAUCCAGGGCUUGGAUCCAGGGCUUGGGCACAAUUUAUGGGAUGACAGGCAGGGCGGUCUGAAGCAUGGAGAUGGAUGAUUGGAGACCUCUUCCAGUCAUAAGGGAGUAACAGGGGCAGACCUACCUGGAAAACUGGACAAGACAUAUGCUACAACAGUUUUUAGACAGUAGACAACAGGCAGCACACGAUCGUGAUCCUUGAGAGAAGGGAGGCAAUUGAGUGAGUUACUUGGGAGAUUGAAGAAACAAGAAAAACAUUUAUUUUAAAGCUGAGCGUCACAGGUCGGGCUCCCUGCUUGGAAACUGAAUGAGGCCAGAAUUUCUAGAUAUUUUGUAGUGGAGUGGCGUGCAAGUUGCCUUGUCUAUCAUCUUGCUGAAAAUCCAGGAUUUAUUUUCUACUUAGCAAUAUGUUGUGAACAAUUCCCCAUGGUGUCCCUCUAUUUCUUGUUUGCUUGCAUUGAAGGAAACCGGUUGCCAUGCUAUGAGCUGCCCGAUGGAAAGGCCCACAUGGAAGGAACUGAAGUCUUCUGGCUCAAAGUCACUGAGGAACUGAGGCCCUCAGUGCAAAGGCCCUCAAGGUAUUGAGUUCUGCCAACAGUCAUACGAGUAAGACUGGAAGUGGAUCUUCCCCCAGUCAGGCCAUCAGGUGAGACCACAUUCCUGGCUGACACUCUGACUGCAGCCAUGAGACACGUGGAGCCAGAGGCACCUGGCCAAGCUGCAGCUGGAUUCCUGACCCACAGAAGACCCACACAAUAAAUGUUUCUUGUUUUAAGUA